RNAcentral lists this ribosomal RNA (492 nucleotides) under uncultured bacterium. Its description in RNAcentral is "partial 16S ribosomal RNA". It matches the Rfam family "Bacterial small subunit ribosomal RNA", at positions 29 to 507 of the family's 1533-position model. The record is from RNAcentral.
AGUGAACGCUGGCGGCGUGCCUAACACAUGCAAGUCGAACGGCAAGACAGUAAGAUCGUGCUCUUACGGGUGGCGAGAGGCGGGCGGGUGAGGAAUACAUCGGCCCCUUCUUUUUCGGGGAGGAUAACGUAAGGAAAGUUACGCUAAUACAGCAUAUGCUGUACCGGUGAGUGCAGUGGAUAUUCGCAGCUUGCGCGAUUGAAUGAGCCGAUGUCGGAUUAGCUAGUUGGGGGGGUAAGGGCCCACCAAGGCGACGAUUCGUGGCUGGCCUGAGAGGAGGAUCGGCCACACUGGAACUGAGACACGGUCCAGACGCCUACGGGAGGCAGCAGUGGGGAAUUUUGGACAAUGGGCGAAAGCCUGACCCAGCCAGACCGCGUGGGUGAAGAAGGCCUUCGGGUCGUAAAGCCCUGUUUUUGGGAAAGAACAGCUGCAGAAUAAUACGUCGCUGUUCUGACGGUACCCAAUGAAUAAGCACCGGCUAACUACGUG